GGAACGAUACAGAGAAGAUUAGCAUG
RNAcentral lists this non-coding RNA (26 nucleotides) under Xenopus tropicalis (tropical clawed frog). RNAcentral also lists the same sequence under 4 other names. The record is from RNAcentral. Lineage: Eukaryota; Metazoa; Chordata; Amphibia; Anura; Pipidae.